AUUGAACGCUGGCGGCAUGCCUUACACAUGCAAGUCGAACGGCAGCACGGGUGCUUGCACCUGGUGGCGAGUGGCGAACGGGUGUGUAAUACAUCGGAACGUACCUUAUCGUGGGGGAUAACGCAGCGAAAGCUGUGCUAAUACCGCAUACGCCCUGAGGGGGAAAGCGGGGGAUCGCAAGACCUCGCGCGAUUAGAGCGGCCGAUGCCUGAUUAGCUUGUUGGUGGGGUAAAAGCCCACCAAGGCGACGAUCAGUAGCUGGUCUGAGAGGACGAUCAGCCACACUGGGACUGAGACACGGCCCAGACUCCUACGGGAGGCAGCAGUGGGGAAUUUUGGACAAUGGGGGCAACCCUGAUCCAGCAAUGCCGCGUGAGUGAAGAAGGCCUUCGGGUUGUAAAGCUCUUUUGUCAGGGAAGAAACACCGGCUCUAACACAGUCUGGGAAUGACGGUACCUGAAGAAUAAGCACCGGCUAACUACGUGCCAGCAGCCGCAGUAA
This 501-nucleotide ribosomal RNA is filed under the name uncultured bacterium. RNAcentral's name for it is "partial 16S ribosomal RNA". It matches the Rfam family "Bacterial small subunit ribosomal RNA", at positions 30 to 523 of the family's 1533-position model. The record is from RNAcentral.